UGGCCUUAAAAUUGUUUUCUUACUCAAAUGUACAUACCUAGAUACUACAUUCUUGAUCAUUUGAAAAAUUUGCUGCCUUUUAAUUCUUUUUAAAUUUGUGAGUUCCUCAUUCAUCCUUUUAUUUCCUUAUACUUUUUCCUUGAAAGAAUCUGGAAGUUUGACUGUUGCAUCUCCCUUGGCCUGACAUUGCUGACUGCACACUCGAGGUUCUGUUCAACACACUGCUCUGUCCUGUGAUCGUCCUGUGAAUUGCCAGCUGAAUCCAGAGACUGGCUCAGGCUCAGGAUUGAUCCCUUUGGUCAGACUGCAGGUAACAAGAGGAUUCAGAAUCUGAGAGAUACUGCUUAAAAGGAAAAUGUCCUGGAGGGAUGCCAAACUGCACUCUCAAAGGUUUCGGCUGGAUGUGUGAUAUUGAUGGGGAAACCCAUUUCAGUGUCUCUAAGAAGGGGGUAGUGCUCCUCUUUCCAGGAUGUCUCUGGGGAAUCUAGAGCACCCCAAAGUGUGGUAUGCAUAGAAACAUUGCUGCUUAAGGUCUGAAUAUUUGUUCCUCAUCAAUUCAUGUGUUGAAAUUCUAACCUCUCCUGAAUGGGAUUAGUGCUCUUACACGAGAGGCCUGACAGAGACUCCUCACCCUUCCCACCAUGCGAAGACACAGUGAGAAGGCUCAGUCUAUGAACCAAAAUGUUGACUGUCACCAUUUACUCAAUCUGCUGUCGCCUUGAGCUUGGACUUCCCAGCCUCCAGAACUGUGAGAAAUAAAUUUCUGUUGCUUAUAAGACAACCAGUUUAUGACAUUUCGUUAUAGCAGCCUGAAUGGACUAAGACACCCUUCCCACCAUGUGAAGACAGAGUGAGAAGGUUCGGUCUAUGAACCAAAAACUGACCCUCACCAGUCAUUGAAUCUGCUGGUGCCUUGAUCUUGGACUUCCCAGCCUCCAGAACUGUGAGAAAUAAAUUUCUGUCGUUUAUAAGCCACCUAGUUUAUGAUACUUUGUUAUAGCAGCCUGAAUGGACUGAGACACCCACCUUAAAAAGACAGUACCUCAAAACCAUAAGGCAGGAUAACUGCUAGCCUGAUAUUAAUAGUUUUUAAUUUACUGCUAGCUUCAUUUUGCCAACUGAGUCAGAUAUUUUUUAAAAGUUCUGUUUGCAAUUAUUUUAACUUAGGAGAGGAGAAAAAGAGCAGGCAUCAGCCUGCAUAUGGGAUAUUUCUGAAAGGAUUUUGCUAUGAUUAGCUUGCCCUCAGGGAGAGUAAAAUGUGAGUUAUACAACCAUGCUUAUAUUUAGAUGUUGUUGAUGUUCUGGCUUAUAAUAUAUGAUGAGUUAGAAAUAAUUUUGUACUGAUCAGCCCAACCAGAAAAUAAACAUGCUUUAACUU
Molecule: long non-coding RNA, 1378 nt
Filed under: Homo sapiens (human)
Lineage: Eukaryota; Metazoa; Chordata; Mammalia; Primates; Hominidae
Description: HSALNT0310397
Source: RNAcentral